GAUGAAGAACGCAGCGAAAUGCGAUAAGUAAUGUGAAUUGCAGAAUUCAGUGAAUCAUCGAAUCUUUGAACGCACAUUGCGCCCCUUGGUAUUCCGGGGGGCAUGCCUGUUCGAGCGUCAUUAUAACCCCUCAAGCUCAGCUUGGUGUUGGGGCCUGCCAACUGGCAGCCCUUGAAAUCAGUGGCGGCGCCAUCUGGCUCUAAGCGAAGUAAUUUCUCUCGCUAUAGGGUCCCGGUGGAUGCUUGCCAACAACCCCCAAUUUUCUAUGGUUGACCUCGGAUCAGGUAGGGAUAUCCGCUGAACUUAAGCAUAUCAAUAAGCGGAGGA
RNAcentral lists this unclassified non-coding RNA (327 nucleotides) under soil metagenome. Its description in RNAcentral is "partial contains 5.8S ribosomal RNA, internal transcribed spacer 2, and large subunit ribosomal RNA". The stretch from base 1 to 120 matches the Rfam family "5.8S ribosomal RNA", at positions 35 to 154 of the family's 154-position model. The record is from RNAcentral.